This is a non-coding RNA of Coffea arabica (coffee), 1737 nucleotides long. The record is from RefSeq and is a predicted model, not a curated record. Lineage: Eukaryota; Viridiplantae; Streptophyta; Magnoliopsida; Gentianales; Rubiaceae.
AUGAGAAUGUCAGGAGGGAGGAGUUAUUUUCACUUAUCUGUCAGGUUUUGAAGAUGGAAGGUAGUUAUCUGUGAUUUUUCCCACUAGAAUGCCAUAUAUUGCUCAGAAUGUGGAAAUGAAGCAUGCUGAAAACAGAGUGGCUUGUGCCAGGCUUGUAGAAAGCAGUAUGGAUUGAGAAGAAUUAGAGAAGAGCAUGGUAGCUGGUACUGGAGAGUUAUCAAGGUACAAGACUUGCUUGAAGAAAACUGGACGUGCUAAUACUUUAGUUUCAGAGGUGACAAGAUUUGAUGGAAAGAAGUUAGACAUUGUAGACAGCAUUGGUGAUCGUUUGGAUGACAUAAACGAAGCAUGCGAUUGCAGUGUCAGUCGUUCAUUUGGAUGGAAAUAGUUCAAAGUUUUGGUGCUGCAAUUGCAGCGGCAAGAAUUUCUACAUCCUCGUUCAAAGGUUCCCGCCAGAUCUUGCAAGGCCUUUGUAAAUUGGACAAUAGGUUAUACCUUUCCACUCAAGAACAACAGAGACUCAUUAUACAACUGUGCUGACAGUUAGUCAUUCCAGUGAUUUCCAAGCAAAAAUGUAUGGAUGGUGAUGUGGUAGACAAUUGUUCUCUUAAGGAGUGAAGAUCAAUCUUCUAGGAAGCAAUAGGUGACAGAGUAGAUGAAGAGGAAGCAGACAUCAUCUCGUUGGAAAAAGAACAACAUGGUUCCCUGUCGUUUUUGUGAGAAUGUCAAAAGGAAGAAAUUACUGUCACUCGGCAGGCAAGUUUCGCAGAUGAAGAUGGUCAUCAAUUAUAGUUAUUUUGCUCAUUAAUUUGCACUAGCAUUGAUGGAGGCUUCUCAAACAUCAUGUAGAAAAACUGAAAGUGUUAUGGUUCUGUAGUGCUCGGAAUGCAGAAAUGAAGGUAAUGAUUUGGCUAAACUUUUUGUUAGCCUGUUUCGAUUUUUUUUUUUCUUUAUCUAUCUUCUGGAAAUGUAAUUUGGUUAAGAAGAAGAGAAGAUUUGAUGAUGGAAGCUAGAUGUUGAAGAUAGCAGUAACAGUCAUUGGGAAAGCAAAAGCAAAGCAUGUAGUGGGAUGGCAGAAAUUCAAAGAUUAUGUGCUGCCAAGAAUAUGUAUUCACAUGCAAGGGUUUCUAAGCCCUCGUUCAAAGGUUCAAGGAAGCACUGCCGCUAGAUCAUGCAAUGUCUUUCACAAUUGGACAAUGGACUAUACAUUUCCACCCAAAAAUAAGAGAGAUUCAUGAUGCGCUUCUGCUAACAGUUGAUUAUUCCAGGUGUUGAAUUUGUCAAGGUAAACUAACAUACAUUUACCAUAACACCUUGUUGGGUUUUAACUUAUUUUUUUUAUUUGAAUAGUAGAAUGUUAGAAAUUUUUAACUUAAAUAAGCAAUAAACAAGUGCUUUUCAAGAAUUUUUCAAUCUUGCAUGCACAGUCUGUCAAUCUCUAUCAUAUGCCAAGCAUGUUCAUGUUUUGCUUUUGAAGUCAAUUUAGUUCUCUAAUCAGUAUAGUGCUUGUGAUAAUCUGGUCCACAAGCCAAUUUAGUCCUUGGAUGUUUAAUUGCAUCUCUAGUUCUUGUACAUCAAUACUCUUUUGCUCCGGUUCGUGUAUUGCUCAGGUCCACACCUUGCAAAUUGUAUCUGUUGACGUCAUCGUCAUUUGACCAAAUCUAGUUCGCUUUAUCUAGUUCAUCAGUACUAUACUGUUAUUUGUCCACUCCUUUGUGUAUAUUUUUGGUUAUUUGU